This is a long non-coding RNA of Cygnus olor (mute swan), 1245 nucleotides long. RefSeq lists it as uncharacterized. The record is from RefSeq and is a predicted model, not a curated record. The transcript is spliced from 4 exons. NCBI's taxonomy places the organism in Eukaryota, Metazoa, Chordata, Aves, Anseriformes, Anatidae.
CCUGCCAGAAUAUCUAUGCUAGAGCACCCGUCGAUCUGAAACAAUCUAUCUAAGCAGCACAGGAAUGUAAAGCCCUGUCUCCUGUCCAGCUCCUACAGGAACUGAUCCAAAACACUCUUUGUUUUUUCCAUUUACUAGAGUGGGAUUUGGAUCAGAUCCAGACAAACUGGCUUUCCUUGCAGAGAAAACCACAAUGUGAAGGGUGGGGUAUUAUUUAAGGAGACUUGGUGAUGGAUUCUUUUCAAAGGCUUCAGUUAAGAUGUGUUUUCAAGUAGCACUACUGCUGGUUAAAAAAAAAAAAAGUUGAUGGACACAUCUUGUUUUUAGCAUUUUUAUUCAAGAAUGUAAGAAGAAAAAAUGUUUGUUUGUUUGUUUGUUUGUUUUUAACAGUAAGCCCUCCUCCUAUGAACCUGGACUAUUUAGUCAGACAGGAAGCUCUUGCAAGUCCUAGAAGCAUACUCUGUCAUGGGAUAAUCCUACUUCAUCCAACAUUUCCCUUCGCGUGCUAACUGGUCACUUGGCACCAUUUGUUUUGUUGUGUUUUUUGUUUUUUGGCAUUUUUAUUUUUCUUUGGUGUCAGGGUAGCAUACAAAGACUACUAAAGCAAGCAGAAACUAGGCCAUUACUGGUAGUCAGCUUCCAUGCUGUCUUCUCCUGACAGCAUGCUGGGACUGGCAAGAAGAAAAGGAAGUGAAGACAGGACUGCAACUGUUCAUAAAUUCUGUCUAAACAGGCUCCAUCCAGUACCAUGUCAUUUUAGGUUUGGUGUUGUAUUGCAAUUGGCAGUAUUUUCCAACUGUUCCCAGUGAUGCUUCUUUGAUGCAGUAGAACAUAGCUACAUCCCAUGACGUUAACCUUUACAUAGACCAGAUAAAAAUUGACCUUUCUUGCUGUCUACUCUGCCAUAACUGUUUUGUCCAAGGACUCUUUUACCAACAAAAGUUUCCUGCAAAUGGGAUGGACGCAGCAUAAAUUUAGAGCUCCUAAAGAACAGAUUUUCUCUACAGUAGAGCAGGGGCCAGUUUUGCUUUCUUUUUAUCACUUAAGGAGAAGCUAAAAAUGCCCCUCUCAAACGUUUUCUGCAGGAAAGACGGUCUUUCCCAUUUUUGUCUGGUUCCACUAGAGAAAGACCAAGCUUGUAAUUUUGCUCUGCCUCACAGGUUCUGGAGACAGCACAGAUCUCAAAUGCAGCAGGGCACAGCCCCAGGGGAACGAAGAAGGGAGACCCCCUAGAAACAUUUCACA